CUAAUGGAGGCAUCAGUCUAGCCACAUCAGGCAUUUCAUUGGAUGAGAGAUAGUUCAUAUACCCAUCAGGCAGGGGCAUUAGACACGCCCCCUGACGAAGCACAGGCAAAACGUACAUUGGGGUAGGAGCUGGCAGGUUGAGGGUGAUGUAUUGGAGCUUUCCAUAGUGCACCUGAGAGCAGUCUAAUGUCACAGAGAAAGAGCGCAUGCGAAAUGCCUCUGAUGUAGUGGAUUUUACUUGUGUGUCAAGUCCCGAAAUAAAGCUGCAUAUCUCUAUGUGCUGGACCACCGUCUGUUUUCUGGAGAAUUGCUGUGUGCCUAUCCGGGCACAGAUCCAUACACUCUUACGGUGAAGAAAAUGGAUCCUGAAAAUCCCACCACUAGGGGACCCUAUACCUACUGGGACACUAACCAUUCCUGCAGCAGCAUCAGGCUUGUCUAGGAGUCAUGGAGAAGAGAUAAUUCAUGGACAAGGCUGCCUGAGCAGACAGACAGUGUAUGGCUGGAGGCUGUAUACCUGUGUUCGGCCCCACUUCAGUGGUCCAACCACUGCUCCUCUGGUCCGGACAUAGCAGUAAGUCCCGGGACCGAAGUAGCUGCUCCAUGCUCCGUCGCUGCUCGCUCCUCCAUGCUCCGUCGCUGCUCGCUCCUCCAUGCUCUGUUGCUAUGGGCGCACGCACUUGACGUCAGUGAAGUCCCUGCAUGCACCACCUUCCCGGCAGCCCCUGCGUUUUCAAAGUAAACGCUAGGCCGCCGAGAGCGCAUCUCUGUGUCCCGAAAACCUCUUUCAGGACUCAGGGAUGUCCUUUGGCAGCGAUGGGCGGGAUAAAGGUCCUCGGCGGGCCGCAUGUGGCCCGCUGGCCGUAGUUUGAGGACCCCUGAUUUAAACUAUGUAAGACCCAUUCAGUAAAUGUUUCUU
Hyla sarda is the source of this 919-nucleotide long non-coding RNA. RefSeq lists it as uncharacterized. The transcript has 3 exons. NCBI's taxonomy places the organism in Eukaryota, Metazoa, Chordata, Amphibia, Anura, Hylidae. The record is from RefSeq and is a predicted model, not a curated record.